AGUGAACGCUGGCGGUAGGCCUAACACAUGCAAGUCGAACGGCAGCACAGUAAGAGCUUGCUCUUACGGGUGGCGAGUGGCGGACGGGUGAGGCAUACAUCGGAAUCUACUUUUUCGUGGGUGAUAACGUAGGGAAACUUACGCUAAUACCUCAUACGACCUACGGGUUAAAGCAGGGGAUCUUCGGACCUUGCGCGAUUGAAUGAGCCGAUGUCGGAUUAGCUAGUUGGCGGGGUAAAGGCCCACCAAGGCGACGAUCCGUAGCUGGUCUGAGAGGAUGAUCAGCCACACUGGAACUGAGACACGGUCCAGACUCCUACGGGAGGCAGCAGUGGGGAAUAUUGGACAAUGGGCGAAAGCCUGAUCCAGCAAUACCGCGUGGGUGAAGAAGGCCUUCGGGUUGUAAAGCCCUUUUGUUGGGAAAGAAAAGAAGCAGGUUAAUACCCCGAUGUUCUGACGGUACCCAAAGAAUAAGCACCGGCUAACUUCGUG
RNAcentral lists this ribosomal RNA (492 nucleotides) under uncultured bacterium. RNAcentral describes it as "partial 16S ribosomal RNA". It matches the Rfam family "Bacterial small subunit ribosomal RNA", at positions 29 to 507 of the family's 1533-position model. The record is from RNAcentral.